Molecule: transfer RNA, 69 nt
Filed under: Oryzias celebensis (Celebes medaka)
Lineage: Eukaryota; Metazoa; Chordata; Actinopteri; Beloniformes; Adrianichthyidae
Also listed under: 2 other names
Description: tRNA-Phe
Rfam family: tRNA
About the family: Transfer RNA (tRNA) molecules are approximately 80 nucleotides in length. Their secondary structure includes four short double-helical elements and three loops (D, anti-codon, and T loops). Further hydrogen bonds mediate the characteristic L-shaped molecular structure. tRNAs have two regions of fundamental functional importance: the anti-codon, which is responsible for specific mRNA codon recognition, and the 3' end, to which the tRNAs corresponding amino acid is attached (by aminoacyl-tRNA synthetases). tRNAs cope with the degeneracy of the genetic code in two manners: having more than one tRNA (with a specific anti-codon) for a particular amino acid; and 'wobble' base-pairing, i.e. permitting non-standard base-pairing at the 3rd anti-codon position.
Source: RNAcentral
GCUAACGUAGCUUAACUAAAGCAUGACGCUGAAGAUGUCAAGAUAAACCUUAGACUGGUUUCGUAAGCA